GAUGAACGCUGGCGGCGUGCCUAAUACAUGCAAGUCGAGCGAACAGACGAGGAGCUUGCUCCUCUGACGUUAGCGGCGGACGGGCGAGUAACACGUGGAUAACCUACCUAUAAGACUGGGAUAACUUCGGGAAACCGGAGCUAAUACCGGAUAAUAUAUUGAACCGCAUGGUUCAAUAGUGAAAGACGGUUUUGCUGUCACUUAUAGAUGGAUCCGCGCCGCAUUAGCUAGUUGGUAAGGUAACGGCUUACCAAGGCAACGAUGCGUAGCCGACCUGAGAGGGUGGUCGGCCACACUGGAACUGAGACACGGUCCAGACUCCUACGGGAGGCAGCAGUAGGGAAUCUUCCGCAAUGGGCGAAAGCCUGACGGAGCAACGCCGCGUGAGUGAUGAAGGUCUACGGAUCGUAAAACUCUGUUAUUAGGGAAGAACAAAUGUGUAAGUAACUAUGCACGUCUUGACGGUACCUAAUCAGAAAGCCACGGCUAACUACGUG
This 497-nucleotide ribosomal RNA is filed under the name uncultured bacterium. Its description in RNAcentral is "partial 16S ribosomal RNA". It matches the Rfam family "Bacterial small subunit ribosomal RNA", at positions 28 to 507 of the family's 1533-position model. The record is from RNAcentral.